UGGCCUGAAAUGAUUAGGUUUUAAAGUUUGUGCCCUUUUCUGACAUUUUUUUCUGGAGAUAGUUUUUUGCCUUACUGACCUGAUUAGGCUG
Phyllostomus discolor (pale spear-nosed bat) is the source of this 91-nucleotide small nucleolar RNA. RefSeq annotates it as small nucleolar RNA SNORD111. The transcript has a single exon. The record is from RefSeq and is a predicted model, not a curated record. Lineage: Eukaryota; Metazoa; Chordata; Mammalia; Chiroptera; Phyllostomidae.